RNAcentral lists this ribosomal RNA (253 nucleotides) under uncultured bacterium. Its description in RNAcentral is "partial 16S ribosomal RNA". It matches the Rfam family "Bacterial small subunit ribosomal RNA", at positions 524 to 776 of the family's 1533-position model. The record is from RNAcentral.
UACAGAGGGUGCAAGCGUUAAUCGGAAUUACUGGGCGUAAAGGGUGUGUAGGUGGUGAUGUAAGUUAGGUGUGAAAUCCUCGGGCUUAACCUGAGAAUUGCGCUUAAUACUGCAUUUCUAGAGUACUGCAGAGGGCAGUGGAAUUUCCAGUGUAGCGGUGAAAUGCGUAGAUAUUGGAAGGAACACCAGUGGCGAAGGCGACUGCCUGGAUAGAUACUGACACUGAGACACGAAAGCGUGGGUAGCAAACAGG